UGCUUUUUCAGAUAGAAUUCUAUUGCACACUUAACAAACUACAGCAUAGUGUAAACAUACUUUUAUAUGUCCUGGGAAACCGAACAAUUUAUGUAACUGGCUUUAUUGUGAUACUCAUUUAUUUGAGUCUGCAAUAUCUCCGAGGUGUGCGUAUAUGCAUAAUGUGUGCCUAGGUAUAAUAUGUACUGAUUAAAUACAUUUGGGUAAAUCCUUUUAAUGAAAUGCUAAGCGGAAUGCACCUGAGAAGGUGUAAAUUAUCAAAAAUACUUUUCUCUCAGUGAUAGCCAGUGAUUUAAAUUUUAGCAACAACUGAGGAUAUAGCUAAAACCCUUUUAACCAACACAAGUUUGGCUGAUUCAGAAUGGAAACUCCACGUAGAGCAGAAGUAUGGCUUCAGGUAUGCUGGGAGACAGGGCCUUUUAUGUCUUUGGUUUGUUUCACAUUCAAGCUGUUCUUUUUCUUUGAAUUUUGAACGCAGAGGUCAGGCACUACACUAUGCCUCACAUGGGCCCAUAUAUCCACUAGCAGACUCAUUUAAUCUUCAGGCUUCUGUAAAUGCAGCUUUGUUCAUAUACUUGUUUUCUUAGUAUGAACAGGGAGAGGAGAAAUCGAUGUUGGCCUUUUUUUUUUUUCCCCAGGAAGGUUUUUUUUUUUCCUUUUCUCUCACUUUAAAAGCAUAGGAAUUUCAUGAAACUCAUUCAGCCUACAGCUGCAAUCUACAACUAGGAAGAAACACUGUCCCUUUAUAUUGCCUAUAAAUAAUCUGGUCUUUCUCAUGAGCAGCCUAACUGGUCCCUAGACACAAAAAUAUUUAGUCCUAUCAGGUUUAAGCCUUAAUAUCAUUUGAUCUUUUAACAGGCCCUUUAGGUGAUGCUGCUCUUUUUCAGAGAGAUCAGGAUCUCAGAUUUCUCAGUCUUCAAAGGCCAUGCUGGCCUCUCCGCAGAAUGGCAUCUGCCUGGGGCCAAAAGUGUCAAUUUAGGCAACCUUGGGGCUGAGCGGAGGGUGGGUCUAGGGUCACAUUAUCCUCUCUCUAACUGGAUGUGGAUUGCCCCGCCCACGUAGGCAAUUGAAAUUUGUUUCUUGUGGCUGUUUCUGUCGAGCUCGGCUUGGGUCUCCUUGGUGCUGGGAUCUCUUGAGUGUCAUCCUUGCAUGCAGGCCCACCCACAGUCCCCCUCCAGCUCUAGUUUCAUGGGCACUGGACCCACCCCCGGGGGCCACAUACUCUGAGGGCGUAUUUAAAUGUCCCGGAACAGAGAACAGUCAAGAAAGUAGAUGUUAAGACCUCCUCUGCUUGAUCAUUCUGCCCAGUCUGGUUUAACCUGACCUUGUUCCAGGUUAGUUCAGAGGAGACGGAUGCUCCCCAUUACCCCGCACUGAGCUGUGGCUCUGUGUUAAAGCCUGGAGACAGGAAACUGGGGGACACGCACCUCACCAUCUCACACUUCAGUUUUUUCCCCUUAGAAAGCAAAUAGAAUCUUCCAUCUGCCCACUGGGUUCUGAAUUUCACAACAGUGUAAUUUGAUGUGGGUCUGUUUUCAUCCAUUUUCACUGGGCCCUUGAUGGGUCUGGUAACUCAAGUCGUUGAAUUCUUGGAAAUUUUCUUGGCUUGUUUCUUUGAUGAAUUCCACUCCUCAUUUUUUUUCUUUUCUCUCUUUCUGUAUUGUCUGCUAUUCAGAUGUUGGACAUAUUGGACUGGUUUUCCAAUUUUCUUGUCUUUUCUCUCACAUAUUUCCUUUUUAUACCUUUACUACAUUUUAUAAUAUUUUUUCAACUUUGUGUUUUCAACUUGUUUUUCAACUCUUUUACGAAGACUUUCAUUUCUGCUCUCGUUUCUAAGUUCUAAAAGCUUCCACUCUCUCCCAUUUUUUCUUUCUUCCUUUCUUUCUCUUGUUAUCUAAAUAUUCUUUUUUUUUUUUUUUUUUUUGCGGUACGCGGGCCUCUGACUGUUGUGGUCUCUCCUGUUGCGGAGCACAGGCUCCGGAAGCGCAGGCUCAGCGGCCAUGGCUCACGAGCCCAGCUGCUCUGCAGCAUGUGGGAUCUUCCCAGACCAGGGCACGAACCCGUGUCCCCUGCAUUGGCAGGCAGACCCCCAACCACUGUGCCACCAGGGAAGCCCUAAAUAUUCUUUUUAAAAUAGUAUCUUUUCUUUUUUAUUGGAUGCAGUGUCUUUACUUACUAUUCUGAGACUUUAGUGAUGGCUUUGUUUAAAGUUCCUCAUGCAAAAUCUCCAUUUCCUCUAUGGUGAAUUUUUAUUUAUUUGUUUCUUUGGAAUUUUUUAAAUUAAUGUUUAGUUGAUUUACAGUGUUUCAGGUGUACAACAAAGUGAUUCAGUCAUAUAUAUGUAUAUGUGUGUGUGUGUAUAUAUAUAUUCUUUUUUCAGUUUCUUUUCCACUAUAGGUUAUUACAGAUAUUGAGUAUAGUUCCCUGUGCUAUACAGUAGGUCCUUGUUGGUUAUCUAUUUUAUAUAUAGUAGUGUGUUUCUGUUAAUCCCAAACUCCUGAUUUAUCCCUCCCCCCUUCCCCUUCAGUAACCAUAAAUUUGUCUUCAGUGUCUUUGAGUCUAUUUCUGUUCUGUAAAUAAGUUCAUUGUAUCAUUUUUUAAAGAUUCCACAUAUAAGUGAUAUCAUAUGGUAUUUGUCUUUCUCUGACUUACUUUCCUUAGUAAUGCUCAUCCCUAGGAGCAUCUGUGUUGCUGCAAAUGACGUUACUUCAUUCUUUCUUAUGGCUGAGUAAUAUUCCAUUGUCUAUACAGACCACAUCUUCUUUAUCCAUUCAUCUGUUGAUGGACAUUUAGGUUGCUCUGUUUGUUUUAUUUGCACCUUCCAGGUAGGAUGCUCCCCUCAGAUUCUGGUGAUGCCUGGCAGUGGCUCAUGAUUGGUGUGGAAGAUUAGCUACACAUGAUUGGUGUGAUCGCAUUGAGUGAAGCUCUCAUCUUCUGAAUUACUGCUGCAGACAUCCAGCCGACCUCCUUAGUGACCUUGUUCACUCUUUAGGGUGUGUAGAUCUUAUUACAGCUCUUACUUGGGAAAGAGGACCAACCAGGGCUCCGGUUGGAUUGGCUAGCAGGCUGAAUGGAGCCUGCACAGUGUUAUUUGAUUUUAUCUUAAAGAAAAAAUAACUUUUCAGCACAGUGAUUUUGAGUCAAUUGAAUGUGAGUGCCUUUGAAGUCACAGUCUCUCCAGCUGUGUCACUCGAUUCUCCAACCGGAAGAGAAACACAAGGAGGGUGAGAAGCUUCCUGUAAGGGGCUCCCUGUCCAGAUGGGAGGUGGACAUGCACACACACCAUUGUCGACGUGCUUUCUGUGGCUGGAGGAGGUGUUUACGACAAGUCAGGGCACAAUUUACUUUGCCUGGGGAGUCAAGAAAGGUUUCACAGAGAUGGAAUCAGAAGAUACAUAAAAUAAGUACCUACACGUAAACUGGAUUGAAAUGGACAUUUCUUGCCCAAAAGCCCUGUCUUUAGCCCUCCUGUCUUAGGGUUUGCUUCACUUGUCCUGUUUAGUGACUGUAAUUUUCAUAAGUGAACUGAUUUUAACAUUCUUGGGGGCAUAAAUUAAAUACAAAAUAUCUAACUUGGACCCAUGUAUUUCAUUUGCAGACCCUGGGUGGGUCUAAACCUACUUUGCAGGCUUUCAUUGUUAAUCUUGAAUUGUUUUAAACAAGUGAAAUAUUUAAGACAUUUGUGUGGGACAACACUGUAGCAAAUUGUGUUUGUUUGAUCCCGUAUUAGGAUUCAGUCAUGCUAGCUCUUUUUCUCUGUUUUGUUUGAUGAAAACAAAUCAAUUUCGUUUAGAGUAAGUACAUGGCAUUUCCACUAGAGGGAGGAGAAGUGCUAAUUUUAAACAUUGAGGGAGGAGCUGUUCUUUUUGCCGAGAUAAUCACUCCCUUCAUUACACACAAACUGUGCUUGGAUAAACAACGGUGGUUCCUUUCUUUUUUUUCCCUUUCAUUUUUAUUUAAAUGUAUGCUCUAAUGGGAGAACAAAGGACAAACAUUUCUAGGUCAAAGUAGCAAGUAUUGAAAAGUGGCUAAUUUCUUGCUUCAAGAAUUCUAAACACAGCCCUGGGGUCAGAAACAUUUUCAAAAGAAGACCUUAGUGAUCAGAGAACUCCAUCUCUUUCUUUAAUAGCUCUGGAAAAUGAGGCCCAGAGACCUGCCCUGCCCAGGUUGGAGAAUUUGCUAGUAGCAGAUGCAAAAAUAGAAAUGUUGCCCAGUUCUUUUUCUUGUGCUCUUUAUAAUGCAAUAGAUUUGGUCAGCAUAUCUGAUGCCAUAAAUAUUAUAGACACAUACCUACAUAUAUGUUUUUGUACAUGUAUAUGUAUGCAUAUAUUUUCCUCCCUCUGAUGUUUAUGAUUUGAGAUCUGGCAUUAAGAAAUAUUCUGGGGCUUUUAUGUGUCCUUGUUUACUUGCUCUUAAAACCUCCCCACCCCAGCUCCCCUCCUUGUAUUACUCUAGAUGCAAAAAGCAUUGCUUAUGUAGGGUAUGGCUAAUGGAUUCAGCAUGGUCCAAGAGCUGGUAAUUACUGACCAAUCACCAAAAUACCCUGGUUUAAAAAACACACUAUAAACUUUCCUGUGAAGUCUCCAAAAGUUUUAUUAACAUGCAUGACAUUAGUGGCUGUACUUAUUUUGCCAUAAUUGAGGGUGUGUCCCGUUUCUCUAGAAUAAUAAGGCAUUUGAGGGAGUUCUCAUAUUUCACUUCUGGCUGAACCCGGUCUGUAAGCUCUUACAAACAAUGCAUUUUGUGCUCAUCUUUGAGGUAGGAAAGAAUAUUUUCUGAGUUUUAACUGAAAAAACAACCAUACGCACACACCCAAAUUUUCUAUUCUGAAGUUUUUUAAAAAAAAAACAAAGCGAGGCCAUUAACCAAUGAGUGCUUUUUGAAGCCAUAAAAGAUUUUUCAACAUUUUCUCUAGUCAGAACUUUCAAGAAGGAGUUUUCCCCUUACCCCUGAAUAGUCUGACUAGCAGUUCUGGUCUAUUUCUACCCGAGGAGAGCUUCAUUAAAAGUGAGUGUUAGGCUUAGUGUUGGGGAAUGUGGAGAUGCAUGUAUAAAAACUGUGAUCAUUCUUUUUUUUCCCUUCCAUUUUUAUUGAGAUAUAAUUGACACACAGCGCUGUAUAUGUUUAAAGUAUACAGCAUAAUGAUUUGACUUGAUACAUCAUGAAAUGAUUAUCACAAGAAGUUUAGUGAAUAUCCAUUAUCUCUCUCUUUUUUAAAAAUUAAUUUAUUUAUUAUUUAUGUUUUGGCUGCGUUGGGUUUUCAUUGCUGUGCGUGGGCUUUUCUCUAGUUGUGGCGAGCGGGGGCUACUCUUCUUUGUGGUGCACGGGCUUCUCAUUGCGGUGGCUUCUCUUGUUGUGGAGCACAGGCUCUUGUUGCGAAGCACAGGCUCUUGUUGCAGAGCAUGGGCUCUAGGUGCGCAGGCUUCAGUAGUUGUGGCACGCGGGCUGUAGAGUGCAGGCUCAGUAGUUGUGAUGCACGGGCUUAGUUGCUCUGCAGCAAGUGGGAUCUUCCCGGACCAGGGCUCGAACCCGUGUCCCCUGCAUCGGCAGGUGGAUUCUUAACCACUGCGCCACGAGGGAAGUCCCAUCCAUCAUCUCUUAUAGAUAUAAAAUUAAAUAAAUAGAAAAAUGUUUUUCCUUGUGAUGAGAGCUCCUAGGAUUUGCUCUCUGGACAACUUUCAUUUAUAACGUACGGAAGUGUUAAUUAUAUUUAUUGUGUUGUACGUCACAUCCCUAGUACUUAUGUAUCUUACAGCUGGGAGUUUGUACCUUUUUACCACUUUUAUCCUAUUCCCCUCCCCCCUCCUCUGCCUCUGGUAACCACAAAUCUGAUGGUGGCCACUCUUUUAAUGAAAAGAUGUAUCAUCUUCCACUUUUUUGUGCAUAAAUAUAAGUGAAGUAAUGAGUGAAAGCACUUCUGGCUGUAAGCGGACGUAGGUGUCAUUCCCAACUGGGUGGAUCUGUGACCGUGCGUAAGUUACUCUCUCUGUUUGCAAACCAAAACCAUCAGGCUGGAAGAGGACCAAGGGCCCUCCACUUCCAUUGGCCAUAGUUUCAUAAUUGCAUAAUGAAUGGAAUUCACCUAUGACCCUAAAUCCCUUAUAAUUUUUAACAAGAUUGUAACACAGGGUUUGUUGUUUUUAUACCAUUUUGUUACUGUUUUAAUAACUUGGGAAAGCCUGGUGUUGGUAUGUAAUGUGUUACACUGUGUGUUGGUUCCCACAAAACGUCUAGGUAAAUUAGUCUUCUGUAAAAAAUUACCUUUAAAUUCCUUAGGGGAGUCUAGUGUGACUUACAGUGUGACUAAGGAGGAUGCAGUUGUCACUCCCGCUCAGUGGAACCUCUGUUUUCCUCCUAAGAACUGCAGCGGUAACCUCGACCCUGGUGUUUCUGCUGACACUCUGCUGUCCCCUAUAGCCUGCUCUUUGUGCAGCACCCAGUGUGAUCCUUAAAAGUCACCUUGUUCAUCACACUCACGGGUCUUCCUUUAAGUCUCUUUUUGGUAUUUCUCCUAAAAGGCCUUCCACAUUACUUGAUCUGAAAUACCUUUCAUCAUCCUCUUCCACUUAGCACUAACUCAUGACUACCUGUGUCUCUCCAUGUCUGUGUCCGUGCCUGUGUGUUUGUCUACAACUAUCACAUUUAUAUCCAUACCCAUAACUAUGUAUCUGUACUCAUAACCAUAUCUCUAUGUCCACACCCAUACUUAUAGCUAUAUCUCUGUGUAUAGUAUGUGCGUGUUUACCUGUACUUUUGCACUAGAAUGUGCCCUCUAUGAAGGCAGAGGCUUUCUUUUUCUCAUUGCUUUAAUCCCAGUGCCUAGGACAGUGCCUGGCAUAUAAUAGAUGCAAAAUAAGUAUUUGUCAAACCGAGGAACAAAUAUCCCGCUUGUCAGGAUUUGGGUUUUGGCUUUUAUUAGCUCUGUGGACAAGUUACUUAACUUCAGUGUGACUUUAUUUUCUCAUUUCUCCAUCAAGGACGUCAUCAUUUCCCUCAGAGAUCUGAUGUGAGAAUGAAAUGAGAUGAUACAAGGAAGAUGAGCUGCUGGUCCUGGCCCAGAAAAGGCACCACGUUAAGACAAAAGUACAUCUUAUUCCUGAACCGUAGCUGCAGACUUGAAUUUCCUUUGUACUGCCGGCCUCUUUCACCCGCAGCUCUGACACAGCUGAACCUCAGCCUCACCUCCUGUCAGGUCGACUCAGGUCCAUGUGGUCAACGGCCCCUCCGUCCUUGAGGUCUGGGAUGCUUUGCCCGUGCGGUCCUGGAUGUCUGUGAUCAUGGUCCCUGACGUUCCUCCUCUGAAGUGACCCUGUGUUUCUCUCUCACUCUCUGUCCCCUUGUCCUCUUUCCCGUGUUUUCCAUGGAAAAACGAAGCCACUGUAGCCUCUUCCCAGUUACAGGAAUAAUCUCUCUGUAAACAGCUUCACUAGUUAAGAGCUCUCAUCAAAGCCCUUUUCUUUUCUUCUUCCUCAAUAGCUUCUGUCUUUGUUUUUUUUUCUUAAACACAUUAUAUUUUCAGAGAAGUUUUUGGUUCACAGCGAUCUUGAGAGGUGGGCACAGAGGCUGCUCACAUAAUCCUCCUGCCUCCACGCAGGCACAGCCUCCACCAUCAUCAGCAUCCCCCGCCAGAGUGGUCCAUUUGUGACAACCAAGGGGCCUCUGUCGACCAUCAUGAUCACAUCAAGUCCACAGUUUACAACAGGCUCCAUUCUUGGAGUUAUACAUUCCAUGGCUUUGGACAAAUGUAUGAUGACACAUAUACACCAUCACAGUAUUAAUCGGAAUAGUUUCGCUGCCAUAAAAAUCCUCUGUGUUCUACCUCUUCAUCUCCCCACCCGCCUUCUACCCCGACUUGCGACAACGCCUGAUCUUUCUUUCUGUCUCCACAGUUUUGCCUUUUCUAGAAUGUCAUAUAGUUGGAAUCAUACAGUAGGUAGUCUUUUCAUAUGGGCUUCUUUCACUGGUAAUAUGCGUUUAAGUUUCCUUCAUGUAUUUUCAUGGCUUGAUAGAUUAUAUCUCUUUAGUGUUGAAGAAUAUUUCAUUGUGUGAAUGCACCACAGUUUAUUUCUCCACUCACUUACUGCAGGACAUCUUGGUUGCUUCCAAGUUUUUGCAAUUAUGAGUAAAGCUGCUAUAAACAUCUGUGUGCUUCUGCCUUUCUUGUUUUGCUUUGAAAGUUUUUCUCAUUUCCAAGAUAAAUUUAAAAAAAUUUAAUAUCCUAAUUUUCUUCUAUUUGCUUCUAUUUUAUAAUCCAUUUGAAAUUAUUUUAGUGUUAGGAUAUAUAUUAAUGUUUCUCUUCAGCUGUCUUUUGAGUUAUUUUGACGGCAAGAGUUACAUUUUGCACUUCUUUGAAAUUUACCUAAGAUGUACCAGAAUGCUUGGCAUGUACAUAGCACUAAAUACUUAUUAGCUGUAAUGAUACGUAUUUGCUUUAAUAAGUAUUAAGCAGUACCACUAACAUGUAAAGGCUGCUAAUAUAGUAGUAAUAGCUACCAUUUAUCGAGCAGUUGUUAUGUGCUAGGUAGAUUCUAUAAACUUUACCCAUUUUAAAUCCAACAACCUGGCAAAGUAUGUAUUAUUGUCUCUAUUUUAUACAUAAGAGAACUGGUGAUCUUGAGAUCACACAUCUUAAAAGUAGCAAAGCUGGGGCUUGAACACAAGUUGAUGUAUCUUCAAAACACCAAGAUUUUCCAACACCUAUUGCUGUCAAUAAUAGUGGAGAGAGGAGGUGAGUGAUGUAUGGACAUACAGAGUAACCUCUUUCUGGUCCACUAACCGGAAUUUAUAGUCCUAAGGAUUCAGUCUUAACAUCAAAUAUUUUAUUGAAUUGGAUUUAAACCUCUUUACCAUCUACUGAGCCCAAUGAGGUAAUACUUAGUAAAUGCUACCUGUUGGCUUUUGGCCCAGUGCAGGGGAUACGAGCACUUCGCAGUGAUAAUUUUCUCCUAAUUGGUUGUAACUAAUGCACUGCCGUUCUGGAAUUUGUCACUUACCUAAAUGUACCUUAGCAAAUGGACCAUGGUCUCCACAUAAAUGUACAUUUACACACACUAGAAACAGCUUGGCGAGAGGCAAGUGGGAUGAAGAAGGAUGUGCCUGAGUGGGCAGUAGGUGACCUGGUGGACCGCCACCUUCUACGAAAUCUCUUUUGGAUGAGGGAGGAUGGCGGGAAGAACAGGAAUUGGGACUCGAGAGGCCAAUGGAGAGGCAAGGCUGAGCCAAAGUCGCUGUGUCUCCUGGGCUAGUCUUCCUUCUUCAGAGGCUUAUCUUCUCAUAAGUAAAAUGGAGAAGCUUGGUUAGAUCUGCCACUUCAAGCUGUGCUCUGUGGAGGUUACUUGGGGUCAUCGUAAGUAAGAAAUGAGAGCCAGAGGGAUCUGAGUGCUCUGCUCCCACUCAGGCCCAUAGCUCUCUGCUUUGCCCAUCUUACGGUUUCUGUGGCGAACAACAUGCAAACCACUGAAAGUGAGCCUGCCCCAGAAUGGCUCCAGGGAGGACAUUCUGAGAGCUUACCGCUUCUCUCCCAUCUCCAAGAGCCCCCAGUGCAUGUGCUCUGAUGAAGGUUGGCAUGACGAGCACAGAGGACGCUGCCUGUGUGGCUUCCCAGGAACUCCCACCGGCCAGCGCACAACAGAAGGUAGGGAGGAUGGCAAAAAAGAGAAGCCGGUGGAAGUAACCUGGGUUAGUCUCGGCCCCCAUGGGAGGAGGUAGACAAAUGCUCACCAAUAGCCAUCCAGUCCCCUGUGAAAGGAGCUAAUGUGGUAGAGGGUGGUCAGGGCAUCUGUGUCCCCAUGAGGAGCUCCCAGGGCUGGCAGGGGCUGAGGACAUAUGGAGUGCCCACCCACCUGCCCAGCUGACCCGCUUCAGGCAGUGCCAACUGCAGCCAGGGGCAGCUGUCCUGGGCCAGGGGGACAUCUGAUUCCUGGAAGGGCAUACCAGGAGCUUCAAAGGGAAGGCAUACGAGACAGAUCCAGGAAUUGAGGUGACAUGAAACUUUCAGAGGGAGAGGCACCUUUAGCUUUCUUUUUGUUAAAAUAUCAAUGAAUUCAUCUCUCUGCGUAUCUAAGUCUCCCCCUUCUUUCUCUGUCUCUGUCUCUCUUUCUCUCUGUCUCUCAUCUAUAUUCUGUUGAGCUGUGAUUUUCAGUACUCCAGGGACCUUAAAGUUUCCACACCAGCUGUAGUAAAAUUGCAUAAGAUGUCUUGAUGGUAGUGUGAAUUCUCAGUGCCUUGGGGCCAGGCUGAAACCCACAAGCUUGAAAGAUCUGGACUUUGUAGGAGAAGCAGAAUUGGAGAGAGAGAGAGAGAGAGAGAGAGAGAGAGAACAAAUGAAUUCAGGAAGAUCCACAAGGAACCUCAUUUCUGUCUUUCUGGAGCUGGUGGGAAAUUAGCAAAUGACUUAACCUGUCUGAGUGUCAUGUUCCACAUCUGUUAAAAGAGGAUUUAGAUUAACUUUAGAUUGCUAAAGCUAAUAGUAACAUCUACCUUCCAAAUUUAUUUUGAGAAUUAUUAGGAAAGAGUUUGAGUAGUCUAAUAUUUCCAAAAUGAGCUCCGUAGAUGGCAGCUGUAAUUGUACACAGGUUAACACCAGCUCUGAUGGCUGUCUUUGUCUGUGUGGCCCUGUGAUCAUGAUUGUAUUGUGUUCUAUUCCUUCUAGGCAGACGGAACCCACCAUGCACAUGUGGUAUUGUGUCAGCAUGUCGCUUUCUUGGGCUUGUUGAAAAGGUCAAAGAAUACAAAUUUGGAGAAAAAGUUAAAAGAUUUAGUUAAGUCUGAAAAAGCAGUUGUCUACCUUCCAAUUCUUAUCUUUCCUCAUUGCCUUUUCCACCAAAAUUCCAGCCUUUCCAGGAAACCUUUCCAAAUCAAUCAGAAGUCAGAAGUGUGCGCUGGCAUCUCCAAAAUGUGAGCUCCAGAACCAUCAUUCAUUUCUUGCCUAGUUUUGGGCACCACUUCUGGUCUGGACCGGCCACUUUCCUGUUCUGGAAAUCCAGCCUAUUGGACUUCAUGGUUCUGAAGUCCAUUCAACCCGGUUGGAAGCCCUUUGGCUCUAAGCAUCAGAGGAAAUGAAGAAGGGACGUGAAGCUGUUACCAGGAUGGACUGCAUGAAAUCUCAUUAACUGAGAACACAAGGGACCAGACAAAACAGAUUUUGAAUUAAUUAGUUUGCAGUAUGUGAAAGCAUUGCUGAGAAAUAUAGGACAUUUUAUUGGCUAAGAAAUUCCCAUUCAUUAUAUUACUCGAUGCAAUGUUAAGUCAAAUGAUAAAUGGGAAUGAUGUUUCUUUAUUUUUGGGCAAAUGAUAGGUGGUUUGGGAAAUACCGUAUUCGGUUCUCAGCUAUCUGGAUGAAAUUUAUCAGAUUCUUGCUUAUUGUCAUAAUUUUAGGUUGUAUCCUGACAGCUCUCAAGUUCUGUUCUUUAAUAAAUUUUUUCCUUUCCAUGUGAAUCCCGAGUGAUCUAAUGGAUAACCAGA
Orcinus orca (killer whale) is the source of this 11463-nucleotide long non-coding RNA. RefSeq lists it as uncharacterized. NCBI's taxonomy places the organism in Eukaryota, Metazoa, Chordata, Mammalia, Artiodactyla, Delphinidae. The record is from RefSeq and is a predicted model, not a curated record. The transcript has 3 exons.